Molecule: RNA transcript, 2361 nt
Organism: Gossypium raimondii (Peruvian cotton)
Lineage: Eukaryota; Viridiplantae; Streptophyta; Magnoliopsida; Malvales; Malvaceae
Exons: 3
Source: RefSeq, a predicted model, not a curated record
AAUUUUCCUCUUUUAUGAGCGAGCCGCAUGGACGGCGAUGGAUACUCCAAAAUGCCCAUACAAAGUUCCCCCUCUUUAUUAUCUAUCUUCGGCCAAAAGAGGUGAAAGAACAACAUAAAAUUCCUUUAUUUCUUUUCACUUUGUUCCUUCUUCUUUGGCCUUCACAAUACCAAAUCUAAUUUGGGCAUCUUUAAUUCCCAUGUUCUUUCUAGGGUUUUGAAUUUCCCCCCUCCCUGGGUAUCCCUAAUUAUCCAUCAAGUUCCAAUUUUCAUUGUCUGGGUACUCUUAGAUCUCCCCUUUUUAAAAUUUUGGGAUCCUUUUUUGUUAUCGUAAAAAAAAAAAAAAGGUUUUCAAUGUCACAAGGUUUCUCAAUUGAGCUUUACUUCGAUCCAGCACUUGAGAACCAGGUCUUAAAAGCUUGGAAUGUUUUGGCUCGUCGUCAAAUCAGCACUCAGUUAAUUGAAAUCGAAUCAAGGCCACACAUUACUCUCUUUUCAAGCCCUUUUCUCGAUCCUGCAAAGCUUGAAUCCGUUAUAAAGUCCUUUGCUUCAAAGCAAGAACCUUUACCUCUUUCUUUUUCUUCAAUUGGGGCUUUCCCAAAUGAAAACAAUGUUCUCUUCCUUUCACCAGCUCCAACAAUGUCUCUCCUACAAUUCCAGGCUCAGGUAUGUGAGGCAAUUAAAAAAGAAGGGAUUGAAAUUGGGGAAGAGUUUAAAGCUGAUGCUUGGAUCCCUUAUUGUCCCGUAGCUCAAGAAGUGCCUAAAACAAGAAUGGCUGAGGCUUUUUGUGUGUUGAGAGAGUUGAAAUUGCCUGUUUCUGGGUAUGCAAUGGAUAUUGGAUUAGUGGAGUUUUCACCUGUUCGUGAACAUUUCUCAUUUGGACUUGGGAAUUCCAUAGACACAUAGAGAUUUGGAAGGUCCAUUAUUACAGUCAGGUGAGCCACUGGUGUACCAGAAGUGCCAUCAACAGGCCAAAUUUCAUAAAGAUUGAUUCCCGAGUACAUGGACAUUCUUUUCUAUUGGAAUCAAAGGGUAAAAAUAUUAUGGAGGCCUUUGUACUUGGAGUAAGAUUGCAUUUUGUCUCUUUUACUAAAAAAAUAGGUAAAUUAGUCUCUGUACGUUAGAUUAAAAAGCAAAUUGAUCUGUUUGUUAAAGAUUUGAUCCAUUUCUACCAUUACAAAUGGAUCCUUAUGUGUUAGCAUGAGGUAGGUUCACAUGCCACAUGCCACAUGUAACUGUUUGGUUAUUCUAUUAGCUAUGUUAGUUUUUAAUAAUACAAAUAGAUAAAAUUUUUAAUAAAAAAGACCAAUUUGCUCUUUGAUUUAACAUAAGAGACUAAUUUACUCAAUUUUUUAGUAGAAGAGUUAAAAUGUAAUUUAAGUCCCUGUACUGAACUUUCGUGGUACUUGUACCAAAUCAAAGUACAAUUUAUUCUCUUUGAUCCCUUGAGCUAUGUUAUCCAAACUUUUUCUAAAUUAUCCGUACGCGACGCAUGUGUUUGACACAUUCCAACAUGAGUAUGGAGGAGGUACAAAUACGAUCCUUUAAAUAUGAAAGUUUUUGGAAAAUAUGAGCACGCUCGUAAUGAUACUCAUCCCAAGUCUGGGUAAUAUAGCCCUUGAGCUCCAAUCCUGAAAUCUUCAUAGAAUUAUGUUUGCUUACUGGUACUACGAAAUAGGGCAAUCCAUUAAUCUUCUAGCAAGUUGUGCUUGUUCAGACAAUAUGCAAGCAGCCAUCACAAGAGGCCAACAUAAGGACAUGGUUCUAGACCCUUGUAAUCAGACAAAGAUACAUGAACCCAGGCUUGAUGUCCCUGUUAGUCACAACAUCAAAAGAAAAUACCAGAAACUACUCAUUCAAUAGGAGGAAUAAAUGAGAUCAUAAUCCCUGUAGAUUGAGACUUGCAAUGAGACAUUCUUAGUAUGAUGCCAAUAAAAUCACCCGGAUGGAGAAAUGGUGGUGACGAGCUGAGUAGGCAGUGGAUAUGACACAGGUAAAUUCUAUCAAAGGGGACCGGAGAGGUUUCUUCAGAAGUCGGUAAAAAAUCAGAAAAGUAAGCUAGUAAAAAAGGAAAUUGACAGAGUUUUUUCUUUUGUUUUCAGUUGAGUUAUCUCUGAAUAACCUGAACUGAAACUAUUAAUGCAUGUUUAUGGUUUGUUGUAAAGAGUUUUAGAUUCACAAGUGAGAGCCAUACACGAGUCCAUUGUUCUUCCAGGUACUUGGGCCUAACUCAUCUCUGUCCCAUUAUUGGUAUAAUUCUUUUGUAACUGAUGCUUAGGGUUUCAGUGGCAUAAACUGAACUUCUCAUUAUUGGUAUAAUUCUCAUUUACCCCUCCAUUAAUAUAAUACUGAUUUUAAUUAA